CCUACGGGAGGCAGCAGUGAGGAAUAUUGGUCAAUGGGCGGGAGCCUGAACCAGCCAAGCCGCGUGAGGGAAGAAGGUACAGCGUAUCGUAAACCUCUUUUGUCAGGGAACAAAGGCGGGGACUAGUCCCUGGAUGAGGGUACCUGAAGAAAAAGCAUCGGCUAACUCCGUGCCAGCAGCCGCGGUAAUACGGAGGAUGCGAGCGUUAUCCGGAUUUAUUGGGUUUAAAGGGUGCGCAGGCGGCCUGUUAAGUCGGCGGUAAAAGCCCGGGGCUCAAACCCGGCGCGGCCUGGAAACUGGGGGGGAGGGAGUGGGAGAGAGGGAGGCGGAAUGGGGGGUGUAGGGGUGAAAGG
RNAcentral lists this ribosomal RNA (353 nucleotides) under uncultured bacterium. RNAcentral describes it as "partial 16S ribosomal RNA". It matches the Rfam family "Bacterial small subunit ribosomal RNA", at positions 338 to 688 of the family's 1533-position model. The record is from RNAcentral.